RNAcentral lists this ribosomal RNA (119 nucleotides) under Lepisosteus oculatus (spotted gar). Lineage: Eukaryota; Metazoa; Chordata; Actinopteri; Semionotiformes; Lepisosteidae. The record is from RNAcentral.
UACAGCAGCCAUAUCAACCUGGAACUCACAACUGGCAGCCCACUGAAGCUCAGCAGGUGUGAGCCUGGUCAGUCCCUGGAUGGGAGACCUCCUGGGAAAAACUAAGGUUGCUGCUGGAA